Molecule: RNA transcript, 5559 nt
Organism: Oenanthe melanoleuca
Lineage: Eukaryota; Metazoa; Chordata; Aves; Passeriformes; Muscicapidae
Gene: PPP1R2
Gene name: protein phosphatase 1 regulatory inhibitor subunit 2
Exons: 7
Source: RefSeq, a predicted model, not a curated record
GGCCCGGCCGGGGCGGCGGCGGCGGAACCGGGCGGGCGGCGCGGCCAUGGAGGCGCCCUCGGUACCGGACGCCUCGGCGACGGGGCGGGGGCCCAUCAAGGGCAUCCUGAAGAAGAGCGGCAGCAAGGCAUCGUCGGGAGCGGCCGUGGGGGUGCGACAGACCAGUCAGGCCUGCGACGAGGACGAGCACGGUAAAAAAUCCCAGAAGUGGGAUGAAAUGAACAUCAUAGCUACGUACCAUCCUGCAGGCAAAGAUUAUGGCUUGAUGAAAAUUGAUGAGCCGAGUACUCCUUACCACAGCAUGAUAGGAGAAGAUGAUGAGGAUGCAGUGAGUGAUUCGGAAUAUGAGCCCUUAAGAGCAGAUGUGUUGAGUAAAAAACUGGCAGCUGCAGCUGAAGGUAGAGGACCCAAGAUUAUAGCAAGGCAAGAAGAAAGCAGUGAGGAGGAGGACGAGGAUGAAGAAUUAACACCUGAAGAACGGGAGAAAAAGAAACAGUUUGAAAUGAAGAGAAAAAUGCACUACAAUGAAGGAAGAAACAUCAAACUGGCAAGGCAGCUCAUUGCAAAAGAACUACAUGGUGAAGAAGAGGAAGAUGAUGAGGAUGAAGAGAUGCGUGAUGCUGCAGAUGUAGAAACAAUGAGUACAGAAGCUACUGAACAUGGGGAAAGGAGGGCUGCAGCAGCCAACCGUAUGACCUUUCUGCAUGGCCUGAAGCUGCCAUCUCUCUGCACUCUGCUGUAAAACAGAGGCAACUCCGCUCCCCAGCUGCAUUCGCCAGUGGAAAGAAGGCAGACCUUUGCAGCAUUUUUCCAUCUCUAUUGUUGAAGUCCAUUCCACCUUCCUCAUAACCAGCUUCAGAGCCACAACUGACUGAGAUUUCUUGCUGAUUGAAAUGAAGAUGGCCAGUCCAGUCAGUGAUGGUGAGAACUCUUUGUAUAUUUUUGCUCCUGUCUUCAUUGUGGCAACCAAGUGUUUUAAAUGGAUGGAUCAUUCCUUUCUUGCCUCAAGUAGCCAUGCCUUAUCCCAUGCAUAUGGAUUCUGGCAGCCAAGCUCUUUUGUGGAAAAGAAAGUAGAAAUGGUAAUAGACUGCAUAUGGCAGGGGGGUUGGAGCUGGAUGUUCCUUCCAUAUACAUGGAAGGUUCCUUCCAACACAAACCAUUCUAUGAUUCUACAUUUGCUUGCUUCAGCAUUUCACCUUCACUGGCUAUUUGCUAUUUAUGACUCCAUGAAUAAUAUAAAUAGAAUUCUCCUUUGCCAGCAGAAGUGACCUUUGUUUCUCUCCAUAAAAACCUUCCCUUUAUAAAUUCCCUUUGAAAUCACAGAAGGAAAUAUUCCUGAUGUAGGUUAAUUUAAGGAUGAUGAUUUCAGUGCAAACCUGGAUUCUGCUACACCAAAGUAUCAGCCAGAGGGUGUUGUCCAUAGCAGUUCAAUUGACAAGCAGUAAGACUAUUGUUCUCUUUCUCUGGUUCAUUUAGCUGCAUUGCUCUGCUAACCUUGCUCAGAUGGCACCCAGCAGCUGAGCUGUCACUGACUGGGUGUGCCCUUUGGCCUUUGGUAGAUACAGAAUAUGUUGUGUUUUCUUAACCAGGGCAAGCAUGAAUUAAAGAUGAAUUAAAUGUGAAGGCUGGGAGCACACAGCAAUCAGUUCUGCUGGUUAAGUGUGCUGUUUGCUUGGUAAACUGCAUGUUACCAAAUCUAACUCGUGUCGAAGCCUAACUGGCCUUUUAAAAACAAUAUUAUCAUUUUGAUGAGGUAUUCUUUGAUCAGCACUGAGGAGAAAUUUUCUCUGAUUUAUUGUGGUGUUUUUGCUCAAAAGCACGAGUUAACUCGCUGAAAACAAAACUGACUGCUCCUUCAUGUAUAAAUUUGGGUUUUUUUCAAUUCAAGUGUGUCAUCUGGAACUGAAAUUUGACCUGGAAAGUACUAUGUUUGCUGGUGUUUCAGGAACCUCAUGUGUUAGUUCUAAACACCUGAGUUAAAUCCUCCCAGUUCUGGGGGGGGUGAGCACUCAGUGUUUGGUGUGGUGAACACUGCUGUUGGCCAUCUCUUCAGAGCAUGAGGGUCAAAUAACUGUUUUAGAAGUUUCUGCACUCUCCAAAUAAAAGCUUAUACAUUGCUAAGAAGGGUUGGCAAACAUUAUCUUUGGAGAAGCAGAGAUGAUUUCAGGGGGAAAUUUGUGUGUGUUGUGAAAGUAUUCAAUGGGUGUGAAGAAUUAUCUAUUUUUUGUAAUCUUUCUUAUGCAGCACAUGUUACUCGUGACCAGCUGGAAAGUAGAGCACACAGCAUAGAAGAAAUCUGUCCAGAACUGUAACUGCUUGUCAAAGACACAAAUAUAAACAUCGCUUCAUGAUUUUUGCAAUUAAGGCUCUUAAAUGUUAAGAAGCAUAUCAGUUACAAUGUUGUAUUGCCAAGAAUGUUAAUUUUAGACUUGUCCAUUAGGCAGAAAACACUGCCUAAUUGACUUUUUCUUGUGCCUAGUAUUUCAUGGAGAAUACUGCUUCAUAAUUUCUUCAACCAGAAUGGCAUUCCCUGUAUGUAUAGCGCUGAUUAUCUUGUGUGAUGUACUGUUUCUCUUGCUUUGAAACACUCACUAUCUUUUGGUUUUUCACUAUUUAUUUGAGAGUGUUCUAGAUGUGGUGUCUCAUACAGAAAGUUUUGGGAUUCAAGAGCCAAACGGUACAGCGUAUAUCAGAUUGACAUGUAAGCUAUUUAUCAGAUGUGUUAAGCAGUUUAAAAAGGGAUUAUUCAAGUCCUACAACUUUUUUUUCGUAAAGCACUGACCUGUUAAUCUAGAUUUCAGUACGUUUUUACCUGCACUUUCCCAGUCUUUAGAACAAGAGCUGUUAUUUCUUUAGAGCGGUGUUUGGAAUCAAUUGUUAGUUUCUGACUAAAGCAGUACUAACAUCUGGUGGAGGGAGUGUUUCUACACUGGAAACGGCUAACUUGAACUUUGCAUUUAACUUUCAUAACCUCUUCCAUCAGGACUGGUUGUUUUGUGGAGCUCUCUCUGGCUUAUUGUGAGAAUGUGCAAAUUUCCUCCAGCAUUUCUCUUAAAAUCCCAUCCACUGUUGCUCUUCUGGCUCUUGUUUCAAAUGUUUGGUUCUUUCCAGUUGCAUGAACAGUGUUUGUGCUGUUAGCACCUGAGGAAAAACACCCAGCCACGAAGAAAUAUACAUCAGGACUGAAGAAGUGCUGAGCUUAGGCUCUGGCUGUUCUUUAUUAAAGAUAACUGCUAUUGAUCUACUCAUUUAAGGUUGGCAACUUCCAUACUGAAAACCACUGGUCUAAAUCUUCCUGUGUCCAUUGCAACUUACAGCGACUGCUUUUGUAAAAUGAAGGCUUUUUGGAAGCUAGAAGGGAAACUGCUUAAUUCAAAUACUUGUUUACAGUGUGGUUGUAUAGCUGUAAAGAGGGAUUCUGCACCUCCAAAUUGCUGUAAAAACUUCCCACUGGGUGGAAUUUGACUGGGAAUGUUCCAGUAUUCAGAGCAGUUUCUGGGUUUUAUUACACAAAGUACACACUUAAGCUUUAGCUUGGUUAUGAAAUACAGUGUGUAUCUUAAUUUUGAUCUGAAUUUGAUAUGUUUCAAAAAUCCAUAUAAUUAUAUGGAUCUAUUUUAAAAUGUCUUUUUCUCCACUGUAUAUGUGAAGUUUGAAUAAAGGAAUUAAAGUUAUUUUACAGUUACAUGCAUUCUCAAGUGUGAGCUUUCCUGAAGUUCCAGAGAAACUGAGAGUGAAUAAGGCAAUAGGAUGCUGUUCCCUGAAAGAUAUUUACAGAAAUGAUUCAUUAGACUGGAAGCAUUGCCAAAGAUACCUGUGAGUUGUGCUAAUUGGGUUUUGUAGUGUGCCUUUCCCAACUAUCUCCUCUCCUUAAUAGGUAACAAGUGUCAGUUUUGAGUUAAUAUUCUAAGGUCCUGAAUCAAGAAUAAUCAGGUCUUUUCACAAGAAAGAGUGGAACUCUUGAUUCUGGCCAGCGUGGUGAUGCUAAUUUUUCAACAUGCAGGAUGCUAUUUCUUCUUGUAUCAAAUGUCACCUGCAUAGAGUAAACAGGGGCAAAGGGUAAGCAUUUAGAUACUUCUGACUUGCCAAGUCAUUUACUGUAUCUUUCAAUUGGCUCCCAAGAAUAGGAUUUCAAAACUUUAGGUUUGUACCCUUUAUGCCCCAGCUGAGCACUGAAAUCUUGCUGAGAGGAUGGCAGUGCUUGGCAAAGCCGUGUUGCUGUCAGACUGAGCAUGGAUGUGGUGAGCAAUAUGUGCAAGUAACAUCACUGUGAUCUGUGAGGCUGUGGAACAUAUCACUUGUACUUUGUGCUAAGUACCCAUGGUUACUUUAUACCUGCAAUUAAGGUAGAAUCCAGCAGCAGCUAAUGUCCUGUGCUCCUUAACCCCCCUCUUUUCUUUUAUGCAAGGCCAUCUGGUGCUCAGCAGGGCUUCUUUGUACCUUACAAGACCUAGAAAACAUUUUGGUUAACAAAUAAACUUUGCUAACUUCCAAUAAAGACACUUCCUGAAAUGGCUUCCAAAAUCCCUAAUGAAAGGAGUAUGUAGCUUUGAGGGAGAUACAUGAAUUCAUGAAGAUGGUUUUAACUGAACCACAUAAUGUAUAGUAGGUCCCUUCAUCACUCAGAUGAUUUUAAGCUGCAUGGGUGAUCUCCCUUUUUCUGUGCCACCAAACACCUAAAUUCCAAGUUUGAUGCUAUUUUGAAACUUGAUUUAGUUUGGGGCUUUUUUAAAGGCUUUGUUCUCUGCAUUCUCCUCAGUGCUCGCAAAAAUUCUGUUCACAGUGCUCCUUUGUCUUCCUCAGCAGAAGUGCAACCUGAUGUCCCAGACAUUGCAUCUGAUUGAAAGGCUGGCUUACUUGGUUUUCUCUGCUUAUACCUUGAUGCAUUUUAAAAGCUAAAUUGGGCAAGUUUUAAUUUGCAUUAGGUCCAGAAACUCCAUAUAGCUUUUUUUACAAAGGGAUGUCUGAUUUCCUUCUGCUUGAGAAAUAUCAGUUAGAGUUCCCUGCUGAAUGGGAACAGGAAAAGAAAUGUCUUUUCUCUUUUUCCAUUUGAUGGGGAAUUAGCUUGCAUGCACUUCUUAAUCUUUAGGUGCAUAUGGUAAAGACUCGUGUACAAUACAGAGUGGUGUAAAGAGGAAACAAGCACAGUCCUUACUUAUGUGGACAGUGAGCUCCACAGCACCUUAAUUGUGAAUCUUCUUGCACAGGUUUAAGUCUUCAACCUUCAUCCUGUUUAGAAAAACAUUUUCAAUAUGCUUCCAAUAGGAAGAUCACUUGCAAAUAAGAGCCUUAACUCAUGUGUAUAGAUUUUUUUUGUGUGUGUCUUUAGUUUCUUUUCCACCAACUUGUACACAAUUCAUGGAAACUGCAGAUACUUUUUCCACAGUUCACUCUCUCAUGUGAAACUUGUACAUCUUACCAGAACUCUUUGUUUCUGUAAUAUGCUUUCUUGUGGUAUUAUGAUGCCACCUCACAAAUGUAAUUAUUCUGUUUGAAACUAGUGCUAAGUGUCACAACAUAAAUAAAGCCAUUGUUUUCAUUACUGCCUUACAGCACUAA